AGCUUUGCAUAGAAGCAAUGUCAUAGCCAAUGAAGUAGCCAUAGCGUGACUAUUGCUAGUUAAAAACUUUUCACAAUACCACUCCCAGUCGAUGUGAAAUACCUUCGGCUGAGGCAAUUUUUUGGAAGCUCCCUCGGGAA
Molecule: small nuclear RNA, 140 nt
Organism: Argiope bruennichi
Lineage: Eukaryota; Metazoa; Arthropoda; Arachnida; Araneae; Araneidae
Product: U4 spliceosomal RNA
Exons: 1
Source: RefSeq, a predicted model, not a curated record